RNAcentral lists this ribosomal RNA (498 nucleotides) under uncultured bacterium. RNAcentral describes it as "partial 16S ribosomal RNA". It matches the Rfam family "Bacterial small subunit ribosomal RNA", at positions 29 to 523 of the family's 1533-position model. The record is from RNAcentral.
AUUGAACGCUGGCGGAAUGCUUUACACAUGCAAGUCGAGCGGCAGCGCGGGGCAACCUGGCGGCGAGCGGCGAACGGGUGAGUAAUACAUCGGAACGUACCCAGUUGUGGGGGAUAGCCCGGCGAAAGCCGGAUUAAUACCGCAUACGACCUGAGGGUGAAAGUGGGGGAUCGCAAGACCUCACGCAGUUGGAGCGGCCGAUGGCGGAUUAGCUAGUUGGUAGGGUAAAGGCCUACCAAGGCGACGAUCCGUAGCGGGUCUGAGAGGACGACCCGCCACACUGGAACUGAGACACGGUCCAGACUCCUACGGGAGGCAGCAGUGGGGAAUUUAGGACAAUGGGGGCAACCCUGAUCCAGCCAUUCCGCGUGAGUGAAGAAGGCCUUCGGGUUGUAAAGCUCUUUCGGCAGGAACGAAACGGUCUGUGCUAAUACCACGGGCUAAUGACGGUACCUGAAGAAGAAGCACCGGCUAACUACGUGCCAGCCGCCGCAGUAA